Bradysia coprophila is the source of this 145-nucleotide long non-coding RNA. NCBI's taxonomy places the organism in Eukaryota, Metazoa, Arthropoda, Insecta, Diptera, Sciaridae. The record is from RefSeq and is a predicted model, not a curated record.
AUAAGGGAAUUCACGAAGUCAAAUAUAUACUCCGUAUAUUUCGUAUAUUUCUGAAUAUCCCGUAUAUCUUAUAACUCUGUAUAAGUUUGACAACUGCCACCUUGAAGAAAUUGAUAUUUUUUACGCUACCAAUUUAGAUCAAACA